UAUGUGAUCGUCUCUCGCAUAUCAAUAAGCGGAGGAAAAGAAACUAACAAGGAUUCCCCUAGUAACGGCGAGUGAAGCGGGAAGAGCUCAAAUUUGAAAUCUUAAAGGGUUUCCCUUUACGAAUUGUAGUUUAAAGAAGUGUUUUCUGUUGAGGUUUUGGUAAAAGUUCUUUGGAAUAGGACAUCAUAGAGGGUGAGAAUCCCGUAUUUGACCUUUACUUUCAACUUUGUGAUACACUUUCAAAGAGUCGGAUUGUUUGGGAAUGCAGUCCAAAAUGGGUGGUAAAUUUCAUCUAAAGCUAAAUAUUGGCGAGAGACCGAUAGCGAACAAGUACCGUGAGGGAAAGAUGAAAAGAACUUUGAAAAGAGAGUUAAACAGUACGUGAAAUUGUCAAAAGGGAAGCGUUUGACACCAGUGUUGUUUUUCUGAAAAUCAAUUAAAGAACUGUUUAUGCUAAGCUGUUUAGACUUUAUCAGCUAACUGUUUAGUUUUGAGCUUUUCUUUAAUGCACUUUUCAGUUAACAAGUCAACAUCAAUUUCUUUUGCUGUAAAAAAGCUUGAGGAAGGUGGCUUGAGAUUCGUCUUAAGUGUUUAUAGCCUCUUGCCUAUGCAGUCGGAGAGAUUGAGGUCUGCAGCGUAGAUCCUUCGGGGCUAAAUGCAUUUGUGCUAAGUUAUAGCAUUUUAUAGACAACCUGUUGACUAUGAUUUGUCUUGUAGCUUACUCGCUUAUGUUAUUUUACCUACGCUUAGGAUGUUGAGUAGCGACAUACGCAC
RNAcentral lists this ribosomal RNA (774 nucleotides) under uncultured Neocallimastigales. RNAcentral describes it as "partial large subunit ribosomal RNA". It matches the Rfam family "Eukaryotic large subunit ribosomal RNA", at positions 24 to 649 of the family's 3401-position model. The record is from RNAcentral. Lineage: Eukaryota; Fungi; Neocallimastigomycota; Neocallimastigomycetes; Neocallimastigales.